UUAAAAGUGAAGUCCAAUCUCUAGAACUAUGCAAUACAACAACCAUUCCAAUUCAAAACGAACUUCCUACGAACCUGAAUUAUCCGAUUUCAUGGACCAAUCGAUAUUGGAUUGGGUACAAAACUUGGGGAACAUCAUAAUAUGAUGGAAGGAGUCAUUUGGUGAGUUUCAAGUAAAAUCCAAUGGCUAAAACUACGCAAUACAC
RNAcentral lists this long non-coding RNA (205 nucleotides) under Prunus persica (peach). RNAcentral's name for it is "long non-coding RNA (PPER_LNC001060)". Lineage: Eukaryota; Viridiplantae; Streptophyta; Magnoliopsida; Rosales; Rosaceae. The record is from RNAcentral.